RNAcentral lists this ribosomal RNA (249 nucleotides) under uncultured bacterium. Its description in RNAcentral is "partial 16S ribosomal RNA". It matches the Rfam family "Bacterial small subunit ribosomal RNA", at positions 524 to 776 of the family's 1533-position model. The record is from RNAcentral.
UACGAAGGGGCUAGCGUUGUUCGGAAUUACUGGGCGUAAAGCGCGCGCAGGCGGCUAUCCAAGUCAGUGGUGAAAGCCCGGGGCUCAACUCCGGAACUGCCUUUAAGACUGCAUCGCUAGAAUUGUGGAGAGGUAAGUGGAAUUCCGAGUGUAGAGGUGAAAUUCGUAGAUAUUCGGAAGAACACCAGUGCGAAGGCGACUUACUGGACACAUAUUGACGCUGAGGUGCGAAAGCGUGGGAGCAACAGG